RNAcentral lists this ribosomal RNA (506 nucleotides) under uncultured bacterium. RNAcentral's name for it is "partial 16S ribosomal RNA". It matches the Rfam family "Bacterial small subunit ribosomal RNA", at positions 30 to 523 of the family's 1533-position model. The record is from RNAcentral.
AUUGAACGCUGGCGGCAGGCCUAACACAUGCAAGUCGAACGGUAACAGGAAACAGCUUGCUGUUUCGCUGACGAGUGGCGGACGGGUGAGUAAUGUCUGGGAAACUGCCUGAUGGAGGGGGAUAACUACUGGAAACGGUAGCUAAUACCGCAUAACGUCGCAAGACCAAAGAGGGGGACCUUCGGGCCUCUUGCCAUCGGAUGUGCCCAGAUGGGAUUAGCUAGUAGGUGGGGUAACGGCUCACCUAGGCGACGAUCCCUAGCUGGUCUGAGAGGAUGACCAGCCACACUGGGACUGAGACACGGUCCAGACUCCUACGGGAGGCAGCAGUGGGGAAUAUUGCACAAUGGGCGCAAGCCUGAUGCAGCCAUGCCGCGUGUAUGAAGAAGGCCUUCGGGUUGUAAAGUACUUUCAGCGGGGAGGAAGGGAGUAAAGUUAAUACCUUUACUCAUUGACGUUACCCGCAGAAGAAGCACCGGCUAACUCCGUGCCAGCAGCCGCCGUAA